Molecule: long non-coding RNA, 1537 nt
Filed under: Marmota monax (woodchuck)
Lineage: Eukaryota; Metazoa; Chordata; Mammalia; Rodentia; Sciuridae
Source: RNAcentral
CAGGAUCUGAUGGUCUCUGAGAAGGUCCCUCCAGCCUCCAGCCCGGCCCCAGGCUGCCCCCCAGGAGCAAGUGGGCCCAGGGGACGGCAUGGUGGGCGCGGGCUCGUCCAGCCCUGGGAACCCAGCCCUGGGGGCCUCUUUCUCCUCCGACUCUCGCUGGGUCCCCCGAGUCAGCACAAGGCUCAACAAAUCCUAGCCUUGUGGUCACCGCUGCCGGUGGUCCCCCGUCCCCAUCCCCGGCAGGAGGUGCUUGUCUCUGAGCUGAGAUGAGCAAAGUCCCCAAGGCCCAGAGGGCCACCUUCCCAACCAGUGACAAGCCCCCCGGACACCAGGGAGCUCUUCACGCCAAGAGAAGGAGCGGCUGCCUCCUCCCGAGGCUGCUGGGUGCCUGUGGCUUUGGCCAGGCGGAGCCCUCCUCACGCGCCCUCCUGCCUGGCCCUGCCUCUGAGGUCCAGGCUCCAGCCCAGCACCUCUCUCCAGAACCUCCCUGAAGUGACGGGUACUUCCACGUCUCAGAGUCCCACAGGCGCACAGUGUGCUCAGGGAGCAGCGUUGUCACCCAAAGGCACCUGGGUCCCUGUGCCCCUCCCACCAGGCGCUGCCCAUUUCACCUCCUAAGGUGCCACUGCCCUUGGCGCUCGCCUCCUUCCUGACCAGCUGCCUCCUCUUGCCCUGGCCACUCCACCAGGUCCCCUUCCCAGUCCCCACGUCGCUCCUCCAGCUCCUCCCUGCCUCGCGGGCCCCCUGCCCUUCCCCCUCCCAGGCUGCUCUCCACCGACCCCUCCGGAGCCUUCCCUGACCUCGCUGGCCAGGGCCCUGGACUCUCCUCGGAGGCCCUCACCCACCCGGGGCCCCUGGCGCUAGGGGCGUCGGCCAGCCUUGGGCAGGGCUGGUGGAUGUCCCGAGGGGGCCGUCCUAGGCUCGUGGUGGCUGGCCCCAAGGCCUUGAUGUAGUCAGACCUUGGCCCCUGGCACCUGUGAAUGUCACCUGACUUGGAAAAGGUCUUUGCAGAUGUGACUGAGGGAAGGGUCUGGAGUGGCGGAUCAUCCUGGGUGUCCUGAAGUGCCUGUCACCUGUGCCUGAUGAGAAGGUGACGUGAAGAUGGGCCCUCGAGGGCCUUGGGGAGGCUGGCCGUGAAGACCAGAGGGACUGGCCACGAGCCAGCCAGGCCCACGCUCACCAGGAGUCGGAAGGGGUGAGGAACGAGUGUCCCCUGCAGCUUCUGGGAGGAGCAUGGCGGCUGACACCUUCAUUUCAGCCCAUUUUUAAGACCCGGGGCGGGUGGCCUCCAGACGGCCAGGGGAUAAGUGUGUGUCGUGUCAAGCCCUGAAUGAUUUGUCACAGCGGCCAGGGGACGCUGAUACACAGCGCACAAGUGAUGUGUGGGCUCCCAGUGGGGAACCCACCUUGGCUCCUCCCAGGCUGGGCAACCUUGAGCAAACCUCUCUCCCUCUCUGAGCCUCAGUCUUCCCAACCAAGGAAGCUAAGCCGUUUCCCCAAGGCCCCAGGCCUGACCCAGUCCUGCCCUCGACCUUCU